RNAcentral lists this ribosomal RNA (254 nucleotides) under uncultured bacterium. RNAcentral describes it as "partial 16S ribosomal RNA". It matches the Rfam family "Bacterial small subunit ribosomal RNA", at positions 524 to 776 of the family's 1533-position model. The record is from RNAcentral.
CACGUAGGGUGCGAGCGUUGUCCGGAAUUAUUGGGCGUAAAGAGCUCGUAGGCGGUGUGUCGCGUCGGCCGUGAAAACCUGCAGCUUAACUGUGGGCUUGCGGUCGAUACGGGCAUCACUGGAGUUCGGCAGGGGAGACUGGAAUUCCUGGUGUAGCGGUGAAAUGCGCAGAUAUCAGGAGGAACACCAGUGGCGAAGGCGGGUCUCUGGGCCGAUACUGACGCUGAGGAGCGAAAGCGUGGGGAGCGAACAGG